UAGGGAAUCUUGCGCAAUGGACGAAAGUCUGACGCAGCAACGCCGCGUGUAGGAUGAAGCCUCUAGGGGUGUAAACUACUGUCAGCAGGGAAGAAAUUGACUGUACCUGCAGAGGAAGCACCGGCUAACUCCGUGCCAGCAGCCGCGGUAAGACGGAGGGUGCAAGCGUUGUCCGGAAUUAUUGGGCGUAAAGAGUUCGUAGGCGGUUAUUUAAGUCUGAUGUGAAAUCCUAGAGCUCAACUCUAGAAGUGCAUCUGAUACUGUAUAGCUUGAGUCUCAGAGAGGAUGGAGGAAUUCCCAGUGUAGAGGUGAAAUUCGUAGAUAUUGGGAGGAACAUCGGUGGCGAAGGCGUCCAUCUGGAUGAAGACUGACACUGAGGCGCGAAAGCGUGGGGAGCAAACAGGAUUAGAUACCCCCGUAGUCCCUGAGCGGGCUGGCAAGGCGCAU
RNAcentral lists this ribosomal RNA (447 nucleotides) under uncultured bacterium. RNAcentral describes it as "bacterial SSU rRNA". It matches the Rfam family "Bacterial small subunit ribosomal RNA", at positions 355 to 825 of the family's 1533-position model. The record is from RNAcentral.